Molecule: long non-coding RNA, 1393 nt
Filed under: Fukomys damarensis (Damara mole-rat)
Lineage: Eukaryota; Metazoa; Chordata; Mammalia; Rodentia; Bathyergidae
Description: lncRNA (ENSFDAG00000026870.1)
Source: RNAcentral
CAUUUGCCCUGAGUACAGCUUCCCAUGAUUUUUGAUAACUGUAGUUGCUUUCCACCUGUCCCCUGGUAUGUGCUCUGCAGUUCUCUGCUCCCUGCACAUGGAGCGUGGAUAACAUCCACCAAUCAGCCAUGAGAUGCCUCACUGUUUUGAGUCUGGGCUGCGCAGGGACCCAUCUCCUUGCAGGUGACUCCAAACUCCUUAGAGUUUUUCUCAGAAUCUGCCACCCUACCCACCCCAACUCUCGGCUCCUGAAUACAACCUGCUUCCAACACCUCGUCAGCCUGGCUGAUGUUUGUCGAGGGAAACAAAUUGAAGUGGAGUGGCACUGCUUCCUGCCCUCCUUGCUGUGGACCCGGAGGCCACUGUCAGCUGGACCCCAGACCUGUGCUGGGCAGAGCCUCUGAAUGGCCAAGAUGGGCAAGCCACCUUUUCCUGGGCCAGACUGGAAGUUUCCUAAACAUCACGAACCUCUGCUGACCUUCAGUGCCAUGAACCCUUCCCCCAGACCACCCAUGUCCUAAGAGGCUGCUCCUAGUCCCUCUCUUAUAAUCCUUCUUGUUAGCACCAAUCACCCCUCCAUGAGGGGCUGGGGUAGAGCUCAAGCUUUGCUCUCAACCCAGAAGCCCUUCCUCUUUGUCCCUGACUAGAAAAUUCUUCUCAUGCUUCCGUCCCAGCUCAGACAUUGUUGCCUUCACUUCUCUUGGUCCAGGCCACUCUCCUGCCCCAUACAGUACACUCUGCUGAGGACUUUGGCCCUUGGGCUUACUCUUCAAGAUGUUGCAACAAAAAUACCAUAGCCUGGAUAAUCAUAAAUAACAGAGGUCGAUUUCUCAUGGUUCUGGAGGCUGAGAAGUCCAAGAUCAAGGGAAAAUACAGUGUUGAUACUAUUGGCCACCAUUUCUAAUAUAUAUAUAUGUUUUGUUCUAUUGAGACAAAGUCUCACUAUGUAGUUCAGGCUGUUUUGAACUCACUGUGUAGCCCAGGCUGGCCUCAAACUCACAGAGAUCCUCCUGCCUCAGUCCCGCCAACAGGUGUGUGCCACUAUGCCCAGCUAGCCCCCAUUUAUCGAGCACUUCCUAUUGCUUGGCCCAUAGGAGGGAUUCGAAUGAGGAAAUGGAUUCAGACAGCUCAGGUGACUCAAACAGCAACCAAGUCAGUUUGGCUCCAAAGUCUGGGCCUAAGCUCUGCCCUCCACAUGACGCAGAACCUAGCAGGCAGGCGUGGUUGCAUCAUUUACUUCCAUAGCAGGAAACUGCUAUGUCAGGGCUCUCAGCCCUGCCAGCUGGAUGUGGCUGUAGAAUGCUGGCAUUGGGAUGGGAUUCGGGGACUGUGUGGCCUUUUGGUUCACGCAGCAGCAGUGGCCCAGCAUCGUGUGGUCAGCAGAGGACCUUAA